GAUGAAUGCUGGCGGCGUGCCUAACACAUGCAAGUCGAGCGGCAGCGCGGUCUUCGGACUGGCGGCGAGCGGCGGACGGCUGAGUAUCGCGUGGGAACGUACCCCAAAGUGAGGAAUAACUGCCUGAAAGGGUAGCUAAUGCCGCAUAUGGUCUUCGGAUUAAAGGAUUUAUCCGCUUUGGGAACGGCCUGCGUACGAUUAGAUUGUUGGUGAGGUAAUGGCUCACCAAGUCGACGAUCGUUAACUGGUCUGAGAGGAUGAUCAGUCAGACUGGAACUGAGACACGGUCCAGACUCCUACGGGAGGCAGCAGUGAGGAAUCUUCCACAAUGGGCGAAAGCCUGAUGGAGCAACGCCGCGUGCAGGAUGAAGGCCUUCGGGUCGUAAACUGCUUUUAUAAGUGAAGAAUAUGACGGUAACUUAUGAAUAAGCACCGGCUAACUACGUGCCAGCAGCCGCAGUA
This 462-nucleotide ribosomal RNA is filed under the name uncultured bacterium. RNAcentral describes it as "partial 16S ribosomal RNA". It matches the Rfam family "Bacterial small subunit ribosomal RNA", at positions 28 to 522 of the family's 1533-position model. The record is from RNAcentral.